AGAGUUUGAUCCUGGCUCAGGAUGAACGCUGGCGGCGUGCUUAACACAUGCAAGUCGAACGAACCUUCGGGUUAGUGGCGGACGGGUGAGUAACGCGUGGGAAUCUGCCCUCAGGAGGGGGAUAACGGUUGGAAACGACCGCUAAUACCCCAUAUGCCGAAAGGUGAAAUGAAUUUCGCCUGAGGAUGAGCCCGCGUCUGAUUAGCUAGUUGGUAAGGUAAAGGCUUACCAAGGCUUCGAUCAGUAGCUGGUCUGAGAGGAUGAUCAGCCACACUGGGACUGAGACACGGCCCAGACUCCUACGGGAGGCAGCAGUGGGGAAUUUUCCGCAAUGGGCGAAAGCCUGACGGAGCAACGCCGCGUGAGGGACGAAGGCCUCUGGGCUGUAAACCUCUUUUCUCAAGGAAGAAGAUAUGACGGUACUUGAGGAAUAAGCCACGGCUAAUUCCGUGCCAGCAGCCGCGGUAAUACGGGAGUGGCAAGCGUUAUCCGGAAUUAUUGGGCGUAAAGCGUCCGCAGGCGGCCUUUCAAGUCUGCUGUUAAAGCGUGGAGCUUAACUCCAUUAUGGCAGUGGAAACUGAUAGGCUUGAGUAUGGUAGGGGCAGAGGGAAUUCCCGGUGUAGCGGUGAAAUGCGUAGAUAUCGGGAAGAACACCAGUGGCGAAGGCGCUCUGCUGGGCCAUUACUGACGCUCAUGGACGAAAGCCAGGGGAGCGAAAGGGAUUAGAUACCCCUGUAGUCCUGGCCGUAAACGAUGAACACUAGGUGUCGGGGGAAUCGACC
RNAcentral lists this ribosomal RNA (782 nucleotides) under marine metagenome. RNAcentral describes it as "bacterial SSU rRNA". It matches the Rfam family "Bacterial small subunit ribosomal RNA", at positions 8 to 837 of the family's 1533-position model. The record is from RNAcentral.